Molecule: ribosomal RNA, 500 nt
Filed under: uncultured bacterium
Lineage: Bacteria
Description: partial 16S ribosomal RNA
Rfam family: Bacterial small subunit ribosomal RNA
Source: RNAcentral
ACUCAAAUGAAUUGACGGGGGCCCGCACAAGCGGUGGAGCAUGUGGUUCAAUUCGACGCAACGCGAAGAACCUUACCGAGGCUCGAACGGUAACUGCAAUCCUUGGAAACAGGGAGUUCUCUUCGGAGACGGUUAUCGAGGUGCUGCAUGGCUGUCGUCAGCUCGUGUCGUGAGAUGUUGGGUUAAGUCCCGCAACGAGCGCAACCCUUGUCUUUAGUUGCUAACAGGUCAAGCUGAGAACCCUAAAGAUACUGUCGGCGAAAAGCCGGAGGAAGGUGGGGAUGACGUCAAGUCCUCAUGGCCCUUACGUCUCGGGCUACACACGUGCUACAAUGGUCGGUACAAAGGGUUGCCAACCCGCGAGGGGGAGCUAAUCCCAGAAAGCCGAUCUCAGUUCGGAUUGCAGUCUGCAACUCGACUGCAUGAAGGUGGAAUCGCUAGUAAUCGCAGAUCAGCACGCUGCGGUGAAUACGUUCCCGGGCCUUGUACACACCGCCCGU